RNAcentral lists this ribosomal RNA (115 nucleotides) under Acinetobacter lwoffii. Lineage: Bacteria; Pseudomonadati; Pseudomonadota; Gammaproteobacteria; Moraxellales; Moraxellaceae. The record is from RNAcentral.
GCUGGCGACCAUAGCAAGAGUGAACCACCUGAUCCCUUCCCGAACUCAGAAGUGAAACCUCUUAGCGCUGAUGUUAGUGUGGGGUUACCCAUGUGAGAGUAAGUCAUCGCCAGCU